RNAcentral lists this ribosomal RNA (407 nucleotides) under uncultured bacterium. Its description in RNAcentral is "partial 16S ribosomal RNA". It matches the Rfam family "Bacterial small subunit ribosomal RNA", at positions 30 to 526 of the family's 1533-position model. The record is from RNAcentral.
AUUGAACGCUGGCGGCAGGCCUAACACAUGCAAGUCGAGCGGGGCGGCGGACGGGUGGGUAAUGCCUAGGAAUCUGCCUGGUACUGGGGGAUAACUUCCGGUAACGGGCGCUAAUACCGCAUACUAUCAGAUGAGCCUAGGUCGGAUUAGCUAGUUGGUGGGGUAAAGGCCUACCAAGGCGACGAUCCGUAGCUGGGCUGAGAGGAUGAUCAGGCACACUGGAACUGAGACACGGUCCAGACUCCUACGGUAGGCAGCAGUGGGGAAUAUUGGACAAUGGGAGAAAGCCUGAUACAGCCAUGCCGCGUGUGUGAAGGAGGUCUUCGGAUUGUAAAGUACUUUAAGUUGGGAGGCGUUACCAACAGAAUAAGCACCGGCUAACUUCGUGCCAGCAGCCGCGGUAAUAC